Molecule: long non-coding RNA, 793 nt
Organism: Leptidea sinapis
Lineage: Eukaryota; Metazoa; Arthropoda; Insecta; Lepidoptera; Pieridae
Exons: 2
Source: RefSeq, a predicted model, not a curated record
CUUCUCUUUUCUGCCUCAGUACAUUCGUUAUCCCACCAAGGAGAAGGAGUAAAACCCAAAGAGCUAUUUUUACUUGGAAAUAUCUCAUUGGCAACCUCAAUAAAGAUUCUUGCUAAAGAAUCUGCACACUGAGAUUCUGUACCUGGAUUAAUUUUUGGAAGUGUUGGAAAUGAUAAUAAUAGUGGGAAGUGAUCACUACCAAAAGUAGAUCGUAAUGGAUCCUAGGACAAAGAAGAAGCAAGAUUAGGUGUAGUGACUGUUAAAUCUGGAGCACUUGGGCCCUCGUCAGGAUGAGAACGUCGUGUAGGACGACCAUCAUUUAAUAUACACAAAUUCACUGAAUCAAAUAUAUCUAUUAAUGUGUUACCAUAACUAUUAGAAGAUAAGUAACCCCAGGAUUCAUGGCGACAGUUAAAAUCACCAAGGAUCAUAAAAGGCUUCAGAAGAAUGGAAAUAAUAUCUUUAAUUUCAUUUAAGAUUGCAGAAGAAGGAUGAGGUAUAUAAAUAGAUACAUAACAGAUAUUUUCAACUAAAGCAGCAAUAAUAGAAAAAUCAUUACUGUGAGAAGGAAUAGAGAAGAGAGAAAAGGAAAGAGGGUGUUUCACAAGCAUGGCUACUCCGCCAUGCCCAUCCACACGAUCUUCUCUGAGACAUGAAUAACCACGAAUCUUAAAUAAAGAUCCUGGUUUCAACCAUGUCUCUUGAAGAGCACAGAUAUAAGGUUUAUAUUUAUUUAAUAAAUAAAUAAGAUCACUUUUUUUAGGAGUGAUGCUUUGACAAUUCCAUUGAACAA